This 656-nucleotide ribosomal RNA is filed under the name Escherichia coli. Its description in RNAcentral is "partial 23S ribosomal RNA". It matches the Rfam family "Bacterial large subunit ribosomal RNA", at positions 418 to 1072 of the family's 2925-position model. Lineage: Bacteria; Pseudomonadati; Pseudomonadota; Gammaproteobacteria; Enterobacterales; Enterobacteriaceae. The record is from RNAcentral.
CGGGACACGUGGUAUCCUGUCUGAAUAUGGGGGGACCAUCCUCCAAGGCUAAAUACUCCUGACUGACCGAUAGUGAACCAGUACCGUGAGGGAAAGGCGAAAAGAACCCCGGCGAGGGGAGUGAAAAAGAACCUGAAACCGUGUACGUACAAGCAGUGGGAGCACAGAGCAAUCUGUGUGACUGCGUACCUUUUGUAUAAUGGGUCAGCGACUUAUAUUCUGUAGCAAGGUUAACCGAAUAGGGGAGCCGAAGGGAAACCGAGUCUUAACUGGGCGUUAAGUUGCAGGGUAUAGACCCGAAACCCGGUGAUCUAGCCAUGGGCAGGUUGAAGGUUGGGUAACACUAACUGGAGGACCGAACCGACUAAUGUUGAAAAAUUAGCGGAUGACUUGUGGCUGGGGGUGAAAGGCCAAUCAAACCGGGAGAUAGCUGGUUCUCCCCGAAAGCUAUUUAGGUAGCGCCUCGUGAAUUCAUCUCCGGGGGUAGAGCACUGUUUCGGCAAGGGGGUCAUCCCGACUUACCAACCCGAUGCAAACUGCGAAUACCGGAGAAUGUUAUCACGGGAGACACACGGCGGGUGCUAACGUCCGUCGUGAAGAGGGAAACAACCCAGACCGCCAGCUAAGGUCCCAAAGUCAUGGUUAAGUGGGAAACG